UAGGGAAUCUUCGGCAAUGGGGGCAACCCUGACCGAGCAACGCCGCGUGAGUGAAGAAGGUUUUCGGAUCGUAAAGCUCUGUUGUAAGAGAAGAACGUGUGUGAGAGUGGAAAGUUCACACAGUGACGGUAACUUACCAGAAAGGGACGGCUAACUACGUGCCAGCAGCCGCGGUAAUACGUAGGUCCCGAUCGUUGUCCGGAUUUAUUGGGCGUAAAGCGAGCGCAGGCGGUUUAAUAAGUCUGAAGUUAAAGGCAGUGGCUUAACCAUUGUUCGCUUUGGAAACUGUUAAACUUGAGUGCAGAAGGGGAGAGUGGAAUUCCAUGUGUAGCGGUGAAAUGCGUAGAUAUAUGGAGGAACACCGGUGGCGAAAGCGGCUCUCUGGUCUGUAACUGACGCUGAGGCUCGAAAGCGUGGGGAGCAAACAGG
RNAcentral lists this ribosomal RNA (429 nucleotides) under bacterium. RNAcentral describes it as "partial 16S ribosomal RNA". It matches the Rfam family "Bacterial small subunit ribosomal RNA", at positions 355 to 776 of the family's 1533-position model. The record is from RNAcentral.